AUACUUACCUGGCAGAAGAAAAGAUACUGUCAUCACAAAGGUGGUUUGCCCAAUGUGAGGCUUAUCUGCUGUGGAUGUGCUGGCCCCAGUGAUUUUCCCAUCGUGGGAAAAUCGACUACAUAAUUUAUGGAAGUGGGUACUUAAUGGAACCGU
This 153-nucleotide small nuclear RNA is filed under the name Dasypus novemcinctus (nine-banded armadillo). RNAcentral's name for it is "U1 spliceosomal RNA (ENSDNOG00000028834.1)". It matches the Rfam family "U1 spliceosomal RNA". Rfam says of the family: U1 is a small nuclear RNA (snRNA) component of the spliceosome (involved in pre-mRNA splicing). Its 5' end forms complementary base pairs with the 5' splice junction, thus defining the 5' donor site of an intron. There are significant differences in sequence and secondary structure between metazoan and yeast U1 snRNAs, the latter being much longer (568 nucleotides as compared to 164 nucleotides in human). Lineage: Eukaryota; Metazoa; Chordata; Mammalia; Cingulata; Dasypodidae. The record is from RNAcentral.